GGGGGCGUAGCUCAACUGGCUAGAGCAACGGGCUUUUAACCCGUAGGUUCUGGGUUCGAUCCCCAGCGCCCUCA
RNAcentral lists this transfer RNA (74 nucleotides) under Gemmatimonadales bacterium. RNAcentral describes it as "tRNA-Lys". It matches the Rfam family "tRNA". From Rfam's summary of the family: Transfer RNA (tRNA) molecules are approximately 80 nucleotides in length. Their secondary structure includes four short double-helical elements and three loops (D, anti-codon, and T loops). Further hydrogen bonds mediate the characteristic L-shaped molecular structure. tRNAs have two regions of fundamental functional importance: the anti-codon, which is responsible for specific mRNA codon recognition, and the 3' end, to which the tRNAs corresponding amino acid is attached (by aminoacyl-tRNA synthetases). tRNAs cope with the degeneracy of the genetic code in two manners: having more than one tRNA (with a specific anti-codon) for a particular amino acid; and 'wobble' base-pairing, i.e. permitting non-standard base-pairing at the 3rd anti-codon position. The record is from RNAcentral. RNAcentral also lists the same sequence under 1 other name. Lineage: Bacteria; Pseudomonadati; Gemmatimonadota; Gemmatimonadia; Gemmatimonadales.